Molecule: RNA transcript, 1286 nt
Organism: Asparagus officinalis (garden asparagus)
Lineage: Eukaryota; Viridiplantae; Streptophyta; Magnoliopsida; Asparagales; Asparagaceae
Gene name: magnesium transporter MRS2-F-like
Exons: 7
Source: RefSeq, a predicted model, not a curated record
GGCGAGAUGUCUUCGAGAGGGGAUCUUGACAAUGAUGGUUCUGAAAUGGAUGAAGAGAGAGAUGAAGAUUUUAAAAAUGAGACAGAGAACAGCCAUGGAAGUUAUAUUGGUUUCAAGCCUAGCAUUGAAGAUCUGGAGAUGCUCUUAGAGGCCUACUUUGUGUAGAUAGAUGGUACCUUAAACAAACUCUCCACUGUCAUGGAGAAGGUCGUUAAGAAGAUCUCGGAGUAGGAAAUUUCCUCGCCUAAAUAAUCCAAGACCCCGUUUAGGCCUGCAAUAGUUCUAUUUCAGGUGUUCUCUUCUGGUGUUAGUUUGGAGCAAAUCUAUUUGAGAUAUGGUAGCCUUAGGCACUGGAAUUCCCCAAACCAAGCUCUCGGGGAUUUGUCACAAGCCAAUUAAGCAAAGGUUAUUUCAUAAGAGUCAGGUUUCGAAAUGUGAUAUUGUAUCUGCAUUUCACAGUUCAGACAGAGAGCACCACCACUCACUCUCUUAUAAUGCAUCGUCUCUGUAUAUUCCAUCUAAAGAUAGAAAAUUUUUGGGGAAUUCAUCUUACUCCUCUGAAGCGUGCUCUUCUGAUGAGAACAUGGUUGGAGCUUCUUCGACUACUGCACGUGAGAAGGUUGGAGUGCUGUUGCUGAACCUUGGAGGCCCAGAGACCCUUCAGGAUGUGCAGCCGUUUCUGUUUAAUUUAUUUGCAGACCCAACUGCGAAGGAGGAGGAUAAUGAAAGGUUCUUGCUAAAGCUCAGGAAUCGAAUGGAGCGGUAAAGAUUAGAUUUUGAAUUGAGUAUUGAGUUUUGUUUGUUCGUUGUUUUUUUUAUUAAUUGGGUAAUUUUUUUGGUGUUUUGAGGUUGGGAUUGAUAAUCCAACGAUUGAGUUCCGAUUCGAGCAUUUGAACAUUGAUGCAAAGGCAUUUGUGGGGAAUCAAGGACAUACCUGAACAACAUCGAAGACAACACCAAAUGGUCUGCUUUUAUCGAUAACUAACGCCGUGACCGGAUUUGCGAAAGGAAAUUACCUGUCUGCUUCGCGUUGAGAGAGAAACAAUUGGUUACCGACGAUUCCCACCAUUUUUUGUUUCUUAUUAACUUUGGUGUCCAAUAAUUUACUCACUUUACACAGGAAGUGAAGGCCACCACUUCUCAUAUGUUACGAGAUGGAAGGCUUGGAUUUCUUUCUGACAUGAUUUUUUUUUUAAGAUAUUGCUCCCUCAAACCUUUCAUAUUCUUAAAAUCAUUGUAUUGCUGUUUAGUCCCCGAAAUCGCAUAGGUCAAUCACAGAUUAUUUA